ACUGGCAAUCCGUGGCUUCUGGCAAAUGCCAGAGGGGCUUCUUUAUGGCUCCAUAGAAAUUGACCAUAUAGUGAGCUGGUAGGGGGCUGUUUGUACGGAACGCAUUUUCCGUUACUUGUCUCUCCGCUCUCACAUCUCUGAUCCGCUUUGCAGCUAAUGACGAGGGAAGGUUCAGCGCAGUCGCCAUGGGGGUAGAAGGAUGCACCAAAUGUAUUAAAUAUCUGUUCUUUGUCUUCAACUUCAUCUUCUGGUACAUCAUCUGAAGGUUUUCUAGCAAGAAAAAAAAUGGCCGAUGAACUUAGCAAACCUGAGCAGUUGGAAAAAUGUUAUAUAUGUCAAAAAUACUUCCAAGAAUAUGUAGAAGAGUUAAAAAGCAAAGAAUUGGAAUUUUACAUUUGGGGUGUCCUACCUAUUUUCUGUGUAGUGUAUUGUUUUUUGGUGCUGCAGAGAAUUUGGUAUAAAAUGAAGAAGCCUAAAAGAGCCUUUGUUAAAAGAGUGUAGGAAGAAGAGAAGGCCUGGAUUUGUGGAGAGGCUGCUAGGACCCAGUCCAGGAAGUUCGGUUGUGAACAUUGGCAUCAUAUUCUACAGAGUGUCGACACUCAUGUUCUCUAAUUUUCUUGCCAUUUGGCGUCCUCUCCUAUUUUCAAGGGAAAAGCACCCUCUCAUUCACUCCAUUUCUCCUAGUGUUCAGUUGUAAACUAUAACUCCCUCACAAUAUGGUGCCACCUAUUAAUAUUAUUCCCUCCAGUGUUAUCGUUAAAUAAUAAAGAUGUGCCAACUUU
Long non-coding RNA from Xenopus laevis (African clawed frog), 782 nucleotides. RefSeq lists it as uncharacterized. The transcript has 8 exons. The record is from RefSeq and is a predicted model, not a curated record. Lineage: Eukaryota; Metazoa; Chordata; Amphibia; Anura; Pipidae.